This is a long non-coding RNA of Oreochromis niloticus (Nile tilapia), 1274 nucleotides long. RefSeq lists it as uncharacterized. The transcript is spliced from 3 exons. The record is from RefSeq and is a predicted model, not a curated record. NCBI's taxonomy places the organism in Eukaryota, Metazoa, Chordata, Actinopteri, Cichliformes, Cichlidae.
GCUGACCAUCACUGUAAACAAGCAAUGGAGGAAAUUGAUGAAUUUUCCGAAUCUCACAACCCAGUAGCUUCAACUAAUAAUUGCAUGGGUCCAAGGAGCUCUAAGAGGAGUUUCUCUUCAGCGGUUAUUCUCUCUGGGCCUUUUGAACAUUUUCCUGUUGGUUGGACUCAUCACCCUCAGUGUCUACUGUUCUCCUGUAAGGUGCACAAUCUUGAUGAAGCAUGUGAACACCACACAUAUGUCCUGGAGGGAAACACAGUGGGAGAACUGGGUUAAAAGUGUGUAAACUGUAAUGUUACCAAGCAGGCAAAGUGAGACAAGCUUUGUUAGAAGUGAGGGGGAAAAAACUACUAACCCCACAGUGAAAGUUGAGGCCCACUUCCUUCCUGAACAAAUGCGAUCAUUCAGAUUUCAAAUUUUUGCAUGGUUUCAUUUGAUACUCUCUUGCAGAUUAACACAACACGCAAACUAUUUCAGUCAGCCAACAUGCAGUUUGAUGUUGCAGUUUAAUCAUGGCAACUGGUUUUAAAGAUGAAGAGGUCAAAGAAAAACAGAUACAUGAAAAAAUGAACACUGAAGCAGUGCUCAAGCAGAAGAGCACAAAAAGAAACAGUACCUAUGAGACGCCUGAUGAGCCACAAUCUGACGCAAUGAAGAGGCUGAAAGUUUCGUGCUUUUAGUGCUGUGGCAGAUUAUAGCAUCCAAAUUUGGAAAUUUGGAGGACAAUUUUCAGUCUCUAGGGGAGAUUUGAAACAAUUUUGUGUUUCUCAGCUUUGAUUAGCUUGAUGCACAGACAAGGAGGGAUGAGUGUAAGACAAACUUACCUUUAGAGAACAGGCUGAUGAAUUUAAUGGCUAAAGCGAUUGAGAGCCUUUCAGAAGUCCCCAAAGAUGACCCAUUGGAGCUGCUCAUUUACCUCUCUCAAAUCAGAUCUGUGAGUUUAACCCAAACCAUUGAGAAGCCCUAUGGAUAGCCCGUACUCUCCCUGUGACUACUGCAUCUGCAGAACAGAGCUUUUCCAAACUGAAUUGAAUAAAGAUCUUUCAUGGCACAAGAAACACAGAGUGGUCUGGCAUUAAAUCAGUAUUAAUAACAUAAAAACUUGGUCAUCAGAUUUCUUACACUGAUGUAAUGAAUGGCUUGGCCUGUAGAAAAGCAAGGAAACACAGGUUUUAAGAAGAGAGUGGAGUAUUGAGGAAAAUGACAGAGUAACAUAAAAAGUCAAAUAUUUGAAUUAUAAUAGUUUUCUUUUCAUUUUGUUCUCCCCAAACUGU